Molecule: ribosomal RNA, 497 nt
Filed under: uncultured bacterium
Lineage: Bacteria
Description: partial 16S ribosomal RNA
Rfam family: Bacterial small subunit ribosomal RNA
Source: RNAcentral
UAUGCACGCUGGCGGCGUGCCUAAUACAUGCAAGUCGAGCGAACGGACGAGAAGCUUGCUUCUCUGAUGUUAGCGGCGGACGGGUGAGUAACACGUGGAUAACCUACCUAUAAGACUGGGAUAACUUCGGGAAACCGGAGCUAAUACCGGAUAAUAUUUUGAACCGCAUGGUUCAAAAGUGAAAGACGGUCUUGCUGUCACUUAUAGAUGGAUCCGCGCUGCAUUAGCUAGUUGGUAAGGUAACGGCUUACCAAGGCAACGAUGCAUAGCCGACCUGAGAGGGUGAUCGGCCACACUGGAACUGAGAAACGGUCCAGACUCCUACGGGAGGCAGCAGUAGGGAAUCUUCCGCAAUGGGCGAAAGCCUGACGUAGCAACGCCGCGUGAGUGAUGAAGGUCUUCGGCUCGUAAAACUCUGUUAUUAGGGAAGAACAUAUGUGUAAGUAACUGUGCACAUCUUGACGGUACCUAAUCAGAAAGCCACGGCUAACUACGUG